GACGAACGCUGGCGGCGUGCUUAACACAUGCAAGUCGAACGGAAAGGCCCUGCUUUUGUGGGGUGCUCGAGUGGCGAACGGGUGAGUAACACGUGAGUAACCUGCCCUUGACUUUGGGAUAACUUCAGGAAACUGGGGCUAAUACCGGAUAGGAGCUCCUGCUGCAUGGUGGGGGUUGGAAAGUUUCGGCGGUUGGGGAUGGACUCGCGGCUUAUCAGCUUGUUGGUGGGGUAGUGGCUUACCAAGGCUUUGACGGGUAGCCGGCCUGAGAGGGUGACCGGCCACAUUGGGACUGAGAUACGGCCCAGACUCCUACGGGAGGCAGAAGUGGGGAAUAUUGCACAAUGGGCGGAAGCCUGAUGCAGCAACGCCGCGUGCGGGAUGACGGCCUUCGGGUUGUAGACCGCUUUCGCCUGUGACGAAGCGUGAGUGACGGUAAUGGGUAAAGAAGCACCGGCUAACUACGUG
This 468-nucleotide ribosomal RNA is filed under the name uncultured bacterium. Its description in RNAcentral is "partial 16S ribosomal RNA". It matches the Rfam family "Bacterial small subunit ribosomal RNA", at positions 28 to 507 of the family's 1533-position model. The record is from RNAcentral.